RNAcentral lists this ribosomal RNA (351 nucleotides) under uncultured bacterium. RNAcentral's name for it is "bacterial SSU rRNA". It matches the Rfam family "Bacterial small subunit ribosomal RNA", at positions 8 to 348 of the family's 1533-position model. The record is from RNAcentral.
AGAGUUUGAUCAUGGCUCAGGAUGAACGCUAGCUACAGGCUUAACACAUGCAAGUCGAGGGGAAACGAUAUUGGAAGCUUGCUUCCGAUAGGCGUCGACCGGCGCACGGGUGAGUAACGCGUAUCCAACCUGCCCACCACUUGGGGAUAACCUUGCGAAAGUAAGACUAAUACCCAAUGACGUCUCUAGAAGACAUCUGAAAGGGAUUAAAGAUUUAUCGGUGAUGGAUGGGGAUGCGUCUGAUUAGCUUGGUUGGCGGGGUAACGGCCACCAAGGCUACGAUCAGUAGGGGUUCUGAGAGGAAGGUCCCCANAUUGGAACUGAGACACGGUCCAAACGUCCUACGGGAGC